GACGAACGCUGGCGGCGUGCUUAACACAUGCAAGUCGUACGGUAAGGCCCUUUCGGGGGUCCACGAGUGGCGAACGGGUGAGUAACACGUGAGUAACCUGCCCACAACUUUGGGAUAACGCUAGGAAACUGGUGCUAAUACUGGAUAUGUGCCCCUGCUGCAUGGUGGGGGUUGGAAAGCUCCGGCGGUUGUGGAUGGACUCGCGGCCUAUCAGCUUGUUGGUGGGGUAGUGGCCUACCAAGGCGGCGACGGGUAGCCGGCCUGAGAGGGUGACCGGCCACAUUGGGACUGAGAUACGGCCCAGACUCCUACGGGAGGCAGCAGUGGGGAAUAUUGCACAAUGGGCGCAAGCCUGAUGCAGCAACGCCGCGUGCGGGAGGACGGCCUUCGGGUUGUAAACCGCUUUCAGCAGGGACGAAGCUUUUUGUGACGGUACCUGCAGAAGAAGCACCGGCUAACUACGUG
This 465-nucleotide ribosomal RNA is filed under the name uncultured bacterium. Its description in RNAcentral is "partial 16S ribosomal RNA". It matches the Rfam family "Bacterial small subunit ribosomal RNA", at positions 28 to 507 of the family's 1533-position model. The record is from RNAcentral.